This 465-nucleotide ribosomal RNA is filed under the name Vreelandella stevensii. RNAcentral's name for it is "partial 16S ribosomal RNA". It matches the Rfam family "Bacterial small subunit ribosomal RNA", at positions 338 to 795 of the family's 1533-position model. The record is from RNAcentral. Lineage: Bacteria; Pseudomonadati; Pseudomonadota; Gammaproteobacteria; Oceanospirillales; Halomonadaceae.
CCUACGGGAGGCUGCAGUGGGGAAUAUUGGACAAUAGGGGGAACCCUGAUCCAGCCAUGCCGCGUGUGUGAAGAAGGCCCUCGGGUUGUAAAGCACUUUCAGUGAGGAAGAACGCCUGGUGGUUAAUACCCAUCAGGAAAGACAUCACUCACAGAAGAAGCACCGGCUAACUCCGUGCCAGCAGCCGCGGUAAUACGGAGGGUGCGAGCGUUAAUCGGAAUUACUGGGCGUAAAGCGCGCGUAGGUGGCUUGAUAAGCCGGUUGUGAAAGCCCCGGGCUCAACCUGGGAACGGCAUCCGGAACUGUCAAGCUAGAGUGCAGGAGAGGAAGGUAGAAUUCCCGGUGUAGCGGUGAAAUGCGUAGAGAUCGGGAGGAAUACCAGUGGCGAAGGCGGCCUUCUGGACUGACACUGACACUGAGGUGCGAAAGCGUGGGUAGCAAACAGGAUUAGAUACCCCAGUAGUC